AUUAGUCAUUUGUAUCCAUGUAUUGCUGCAAGUGUGUACAGAUCUAAACAACCCACCAAAGCAAGGGCAUAGCCCAAAGUCAUCCAACCCAGGAGCUCAACCACGCAAUGGGUGCUGAGGAGAAGUUGCCAGCUAAUUUCCCCAUUAUGGCUCGAGCAGGAUGGAUGCAAACAGUCCUCAAAAGGCUUGCAAGCCCCAGGAUCUCCAUGAGCCUUUCACUAGGACUGGAGAGGAACAAGAGCAGGCAGAGGGACCUGCCUGGGGACCAAGUGGAGAGCAUGACAUCUGUCGAGGACCAGGAUUCGAUGUGUGCGGCCAGCCCAGCCCCACCGAGUCCUGCCGCCUCUGGGAUGCCCAGUGCGCCUGGUGCUCCUGGUUCGGUCCCUUGAGCUGAUGGGGCUCCAAAGGUCUCCUGAUGCUGUAGUUUCUUACAAACUUUCUUUUUUAUAAGUCC
Molecule: long non-coding RNA, 454 nt
Organism: Lepidothrix coronata (blue-crowned manakin)
Lineage: Eukaryota; Metazoa; Chordata; Aves; Passeriformes; Pipridae
Exons: 3
Source: RefSeq, a predicted model, not a curated record